This is a long non-coding RNA of Pipra filicauda (Wire-tailed manakin), 770 nucleotides long. RefSeq lists it as uncharacterized. The transcript is spliced from 2 exons. Lineage: Eukaryota; Metazoa; Chordata; Aves; Passeriformes; Pipridae. The record is from RefSeq and is a predicted model, not a curated record.
GAGAAAAGGGGAGGAGGGAGGGGGGGAAAAAAGGUCAGGUUUCACCCGCAGCGCUUUCGCUGCCUGCCCGGAGGGAAUUCGCGCAAGAUCAGAGCCCCUCCGCCGUGCUCCUGGCACGGCCUCAGCCCGCGCCCACCACCCCGGCCCCGCAGCCGCCCCUCGCCCAUCCUUCCCCUCGCUGCCCGCUCGCCGCCAUUUUGUCGCCUCACACCGCGGGCCCGCCGGGCGGCCAUUUUGUGAAGUGAGGCGGGGGGGGGGGCAGCGCCUGAGGCGGCCGUGAGGGGCAGCCCCGACCGCCGCUUCUUUUUGUCAGCCAAAAGCCUCCUUUUAGCAUUUAUUUCUCUUUUUCUUCACAAAACGUGUCGCCCUUAAUACGCCAUCAGGAGCCUGAUCACUUCAGCAAGAUCCGUCCUCGGACGAAGCAAUCCAAUAAAUGAGAUUAAAGCAUAUUCCCCAGGCUGGGCUGGUUGAAGCUGCCAUUAUUUAUAUACUCAUCAUCCUUCUCCUCCACCUUUUUUUCCCCAGUGAUGAGUCCCCAAGGUCAAUAAGCCGCCUUGACAAACAGGAUAACCUCUGCGAGAAAUAUCUGGGAUUUUUAAUAAAACACCUCACAGGCUCUACUGGACAGUCCAGCAAAAUAAAGAUGUAACUUAAACUGCUCAAAGCCAAAUCUGGGUGAAAAUUGUUAAUUUUCAGGAAAUAAAGCUGCGGGAUGCUGUAAAUUGCUGAUAUGAUGAAGGAAAUCUGGGAUACAAAAUGACAAAACCCCA